RNAcentral lists this ribosomal RNA (252 nucleotides) under uncultured Bacteroidales bacterium. RNAcentral describes it as "partial 16S ribosomal RNA". It matches the Rfam family "Bacterial small subunit ribosomal RNA", at positions 524 to 776 of the family's 1533-position model. Lineage: Bacteria; Pseudomonadati; Bacteroidota; Bacteroidia; Bacteroidales. The record is from RNAcentral.
UACGGAGGAUGCGAGCGUUAUCCGGAUUUAUUGGGUUUAAAGGGUGCGUAGGCGGCGAGUUAAGUCAGCGGUAACAGCCCGGGGCUCAACCCCGGCCCGCCGUUGAAACUGGCUGGCUUGAGUUGGGGAAAGGCAGGCGGAAUGCGCGGUGUAGCGGUGAAAUGCAUAGAUAUCGCGCAGAACCCCGAUUGCGAAGGCAGCAUACCGGCGCGCAACUGACGCUGAGGCUCGAAAGCAUGGGUAGCGAACAGG